CCUCCUUCUCGUUCCUCAGUGUGGUUGGUCCAGAUAGCUGCCUUAUCCAACUGCCUCCUUUGGACCACUUCAUCAUGGGAUAGCUUGAUGCAAUCUACUUGACAAGACCCUGGAACCCCACACCCCUCAUGGAACCAGUGUCCACCUCCCAGUCACAGUGUGACCCCAGGGAACUCUUGCCUGCUUGUUUUAAACCCACCACUUAAAAGUCUCCACAGAAAACCUGUUUGAAUAGUACCCUUGACCCAAUAAGGGCAUUGGCCCGUGGGUCUCUCUCUCUCUCUCUCUCCCUCUCUCUCUCUCGCUCCCUGACCUCUGCGUGUGGACUCCAGGCAUGCCAUAUACCCCUCAGGACCUGUAGGAAGCAAGAGAAUGAAUUAAAGAAAACUCCAGAGAAUGAGCUGACAACUUACGCCCUGGUCAGUGGCUCUCCAUGCCUACCUGUGGUCUCUUGGACACCCUUGCAGGUAUGUGGGCAGGGAACUGCAUGUUUAUAGGAAACAGGCCUAGGAUGGAAGGAGUUAAUAGAUCUUCCUCUUCUUGAGUUUGAUG
Molecule: long non-coding RNA, 552 nt
Filed under: Gorilla gorilla gorilla (western lowland gorilla)
Lineage: Eukaryota; Metazoa; Chordata; Mammalia; Primates; Hominidae
Description: lncRNA (ENSGGOG00000044326.1)
Source: RNAcentral